Molecule: small RNA, 536 nt
Filed under: Cryptococcus neoformans H99
Lineage: Eukaryota; Fungi; Basidiomycota; Tremellomycetes; Tremellales; Cryptococcaceae
Description: Cryptococcus neoformans var. grubii H99 hypothetical RNA
Source: RNAcentral
CUCAUACCUUAGCCUAGAGGAAACUCAUCUUUAUCAACCGCCACCACAUACAAUCCAUCACAGUUUACCAAGAUGCCAUUGAACAUUGACCACUUCCAAAUCCACCACCCAUACGUCAACCCUCAAGAAUUACCCUUCCCAACGACUAUCUUACCUGGUGGAGGUAGGGCUGUGAUAUACCCUGCUGUGAAGACGAGGUGGGCGGGGCCGAAUGUUGGAUUUGGUGCUGGGUUGAUGGGUAUGCCCCACCCGCUUGGAAAGCCCUUGGCAUGGGGAGUAGGUACGGGUAUCGAUAAUACCGCAGCCGCUUGGAGGAGAUAUUAUGGCCUUGGAGGACUCUUGACGGGUUAUCCGUUGCAUUAUAGGUUACCUGGUAAACCUGGAUUGGGAGGGUACUUUGGAGGAUGGGAGAUACGAGAUUGAUUAAUCGGUGGACUGGAAUUGGGAGGAAUUAUCAGUUACUAAAGCUGAGUGUACGAUAUUGUGUACUAUGUUAUACAGUGACUGCAUGUAGAACACGCAAAUCACCAUUCAUC